Molecule: small RNA, 105 nt
Filed under: Marmota monax (woodchuck)
Lineage: Eukaryota; Metazoa; Chordata; Mammalia; Rodentia; Sciuridae
Source: RNAcentral
GUCAGGCAUGGUAGCACACGCCUGUAAUCCCAGUGGCUCAGGAGGCUGAGGCAGAAGGAUCAAAUCUGAGGCCAGCCUCAGCAACUGAGUGAGAUUCUGUCUCAA